Molecule: transfer RNA, 71 nt
Rfam family: tRNA
About the family: Transfer RNA (tRNA) molecules are approximately 80 nucleotides in length. Their secondary structure includes four short double-helical elements and three loops (D, anti-codon, and T loops). Further hydrogen bonds mediate the characteristic L-shaped molecular structure. tRNAs have two regions of fundamental functional importance: the anti-codon, which is responsible for specific mRNA codon recognition, and the 3' end, to which the tRNAs corresponding amino acid is attached (by aminoacyl-tRNA synthetases). tRNAs cope with the degeneracy of the genetic code in two manners: having more than one tRNA (with a specific anti-codon) for a particular amino acid; and 'wobble' base-pairing, i.e. permitting non-standard base-pairing at the 3rd anti-codon position.
Source: Rfam
GCCCUCGUAGCUCAAUGGUAGAGCGUUGACUUUGAAAGACAAAGAUCGGUGGUUCGAUCCCGUCCGGGACA